Molecule: ribosomal RNA, 95 nt
Filed under: Gnetum urens
Lineage: Eukaryota; Viridiplantae; Streptophyta; Gnetopsida; Gnetales; Gnetaceae
Source: RNAcentral
GGGUGCUAUCAUACCAGCGCUAAUGCAUUGGAUCCCAUCAGAACUCCGUAAUUAACCAUGCUUGGGUUAGAGUAGUACUAGGAUGGGUGACCUCC